AGGCUCGUGGUGUAAUGGUAACACACAAGACUUUGACUCUUGCGUUUCUGGUUCGAGCCCAGGCGAGCCUGCCA
Molecule: transfer RNA, 74 nt
Filed under: Clostridiales bacterium
Lineage: Bacteria; Bacillati; Bacillota; Clostridia; Eubacteriales
Description: tRNA-Gln
Rfam family: tRNA
About the family: Transfer RNA (tRNA) molecules are approximately 80 nucleotides in length. Their secondary structure includes four short double-helical elements and three loops (D, anti-codon, and T loops).
Source: RNAcentral